CGUUCCCGGGUCUUGUACACACCGCCCGUCACACCACGAAAGUCGGCGACACCUGAAGCCGCCGGGCUAACCCCUCUGGGGGAGGUAGGCGUCGAGGGUGGGGGUCGGUGAUUGGGGUG
This 119-nucleotide ribosomal RNA is filed under the name uncultured bacterium. RNAcentral's name for it is "partial 16S ribosomal RNA". It matches the Rfam family "Bacterial small subunit ribosomal RNA", at positions 1369 to 1482 of the family's 1533-position model. The record is from RNAcentral.